This 465-nucleotide ribosomal RNA is filed under the name Vreelandella stevensii. RNAcentral's name for it is "partial 16S ribosomal RNA". It matches the Rfam family "Bacterial small subunit ribosomal RNA", at positions 338 to 795 of the family's 1533-position model. The record is from RNAcentral. Lineage: Bacteria; Pseudomonadati; Pseudomonadota; Gammaproteobacteria; Oceanospirillales; Halomonadaceae.
CCUACGGGCGGCAGCAGUGGGGAAUAUUGGACAAUGGGGGCAACCCUGAUCCAGCCAUGCCGCGUGUGUGAAGAAGGCCCUCGGGUUGUAAAGCACUUUCAGUGAGGAAGAACGCCUGGUGGUUAAUACCCAUCAGGAAAGACAUCACUCACAGAAGAAGCACCGGCUAACUCCGUGCCAGCAGCCGCGGUAAUACGGAGGGUGCGAGCGUUAAUCGGAAUUACUGGGCGUAAAGCGCGCGUAGGUGGCUUGAUAAGCCGGUUGUGAAAGCCCCGGGCUCAACCUGGGAACGGCAUCCGGAACUGUCAAGCUAGAGUGCAGGAGAGGAAGGUAGAAGUCCCGGUGUAGCGGUGAAAUGCGUAGAGAUCGGGAGGAAUACCAGUGGCGAAGGCGGCCUUCUGGACUGACACUGCCACUGAGGUGCGAAAGCGUGGGUAGCAAACAGGAUUAGAUACCCGAGUAGUC